This 203-nucleotide small RNA is filed under the name Marmota monax (woodchuck). Lineage: Eukaryota; Metazoa; Chordata; Mammalia; Rodentia; Sciuridae. The record is from RNAcentral.
GAGAGAGAGAGAGAGAGAGAGAGAGAGAGAGAGAGAGAGAGAGAGAGAGAGAGAGAUAACUUUGAUGAUUAUGGUCCCCUGUUUUGGCCCUCUCUCUCUUCCACUUCUCUUCUUCUUUCUCUCUCUUAUCCCCCUUUCUCUCUCUAGGUCUCCUCCUCUCUGUCUACCUCUCCAUUCUCUCUCUUUCUCCCUCUCUCUCUCUC